This 1049-nucleotide unclassified non-coding RNA is filed under the name Hevea brasiliensis (rubber tree). The record is from RNAcentral. Lineage: Eukaryota; Viridiplantae; Streptophyta; Magnoliopsida; Malpighiales; Euphorbiaceae.
CGUACAGUAGAGGUGAUCCAAGCAGGCAGCAUCCGAAGAAUUCAUUCAUUCCUACAGCCAAUUUGCCCUUCUCCUCCUCUACCCGCCGCUCACACACAGAAUAACUGCCAAUGGCAGAGGAAGAAACUUCCUCGCCUUGCAUCAGAGAAGAUGCUGGAAAGUUUCAAUAUGGAUGCGAGCAUUACCGCAGAAGAUGCAAAAUCCGAGCUCCUUGCUGCCAAAAAAUAUUCUCCUGCCGUCACUGUCAUAACGAAGCCACUGAGCGCGAUGAGCAAUCCUGAUGAUCGUCAUGAAAUCGUUAGGCAUGAUAUUAAACAAGUUAUAUGUUCACUUUGCAACAUCGAGCAGGAGGUUGCUCAGAUUUGCUCCAACUGUGGAGUCAAGAUGGGUGAAUACUAUUGUGAUAUAUGCAAAUUUUAUGAUGAUGAUACUACUAAAGGGCAGUUUCAUUGUGAAGGAUGUGGGAUUUGUAGAGUUGGGGGUAAAGACAACUUUUUCCAUUGUGAGAAGUGUGGUUCUUGUUAUCGAGUGGAAUUGCAGAAUAAUCAUUCUUGCAUUGAGAACUCGAUGAAGAACCACUGCCCAAUCUGUUAUGAGUAUCUUUUUGACUCUGUUAAAGGUGCAACAGUUUUGAAGUGUGGACAUACUAUGCACUUAGAUUGUUUCAAUCUGAUGGCUGAACAAAAUCAGUACCGUUGUCCAAUCUGUUCCAAGACUGUGCUGAAAGUGUCACAUUAUUGGAGAAUGCUAGAUCAGGAGAUUGAAGCUAUUCAAAUGCCUGAGGAAUACCGUUAUGAGGUUUCAAUCUUAUGCAAUGACUGCAAUGAAACUAGCAAAACUGCAUUUCAUAUUGUUGGGCUAAAGUGCAGCCACUGCAAAUCGUAUAAUACACGAAGGAUUUCAACAUCAGAUGAUCAUUGAGAGGUUUUACCUAGCCUGCAAUUUACAUGAGAUGCUUCUUACACUGCUAAACUUGUAGUAGGCAUAGUUUUUGUUUUGAUAGCUUCUCUAGCUCUAUUCGUAUGAUUACCUAAUAAAAAAAAUUCCCU